RNAcentral lists this ribosomal RNA (253 nucleotides) under uncultured bacterium. RNAcentral's name for it is "partial 16S ribosomal RNA". It matches the Rfam family "Bacterial small subunit ribosomal RNA", at positions 524 to 776 of the family's 1533-position model. The record is from RNAcentral.
UACGGAGGGUGCGAGCGUUGUUCGGAAUUACUGGGCGUAAAGGGCGCGUAGGCGGACGUGCAAGUCGGUGGUGAAAUCCCGGGGCUCAACCCCGUGACUGCUUCCGAUACUGCAAGUCUAGGGACCGGUAGAGGUCGGUGGAAUUCCCGGUGUAGCGGUGGAAUGCGUAGAUAUCGGGAGGAACACCUGUGGCUAAGGCGGCCGACUGGGCCGGAUCCGACGCUGAGGCGCGAAAGCGUGGGGAGCAAACAGG